Molecule: long non-coding RNA, 1051 nt
Organism: Diabrotica virgifera virgifera (western corn rootworm)
Lineage: Eukaryota; Metazoa; Arthropoda; Insecta; Coleoptera; Chrysomelidae
Exons: 2
Source: RefSeq, a predicted model, not a curated record
AACACCCUGUACAUUAAAUUUUUUUAAUAUGGAUUUUUUAGUUGAAAAGAGGAUGAAAAACUAAAUUUAGUGGUAUUCGCGGUGUGCAAGUACUCGGAAGGGAUACGCGAAACGAUCGUGCGCGAAUAGCGGAGAAAUAUUGCAACUUUCUUAAAUAAUUCAUAUUGUCAAUUGAAAUUGUCAAAUUGACGUACAUUUCAUACCUAUAGGCCGUUCCAACAUGCUGUCAAAAUUAAAUCAAUAUGGCUACUGGGAGUAAAAGAUAAAUGCUAUUCUAUCUGUUCUUAAUGUGUUUUAGAUAAAAUUUUAGUUGUAUUUCUUUGUAAUUUUGUGUUGUACAAAGAUUAAUUUAACAGUUUCUCUGGAAGUAUUAAUUUAGAAAGAUAAUAUGCUUCAUUGGUGUUGUGUUUUGAAGUGUGAAAUGCAAAGUAAUCGUGAUAAAGUGAAGAUAAAGUUCACUUUUAAACUGAACUAAAUAAGGUAUCAUCUGAGAGACAACAAUGGUUAAAUGCAAUACAAUGUAAAGGUUUUACUAGCGAAAUGAAAAUUCUCCUGUCUGCUGUAAUCAUUUUAUAUCUGGUAAGUUACAAUUACAACAGUAACGAUUUUUGAAGAUGUUAACACUUUAAUCUUAUAGGAAAACCAGCAGACUUAAUCGAUAAUAACAAUCCAGAUUGGGUUCCUUCAAUAAAUAUGGGCUAUAAACAUUAUGAAAUAAGUUCCCUAAAAUCUAAAAUAAAUGGGUUUCAAAGGAGGUUCCUCAAAAUCUAAAAUGGAGUGGUAUCAAAGAAUAAUUAAAAGAAAAAAUAUUCAUAUUGAAAUUAUUUAUAAGGCACUGGACUGUCUUAAAUUCUACAAAUACUAGAAUCAGCUGAGAGAAGUGGUGUACAAAAAACCAGGAAGGGAAUGGAAUAUGUGGCUACAAAAGGCAAAAGAAAUGAUUACAAAGCAAAUGUGACACAUUUUUUUAAAAAUAUGUAGGAAUAUCAGUAAACUACAUUAAAAAUGUAUGAAAAGAUUUUGUGCAAUAAAAAUGUUUAUAUUUAUCAAA